AAAGGGUUGCAGUGAAAUGGUGGCUGCGACUGUUUAAUAAAAAACACAGCACUCUGCAAACACGAAAGUGGACGUAUAGGGUGUGACGCCUGCCCGGUGCCGGAAGGUUAAGUGAUGGGGUGCAAGCUCUUGAUCGAAGCCCCGGUAAACGGCGGCCGUAACGAUAACGGUCCUAAGGUAGCGAAAUUCCUUGUCGGGUAAGUUCCGACCUGCACGAAUGGCGUAACGAUGGCCACACUGUCUCCUCCUGAGACUCAGCGAAGUUGAAAUGGUUGUGAAGAUGCAAUCUCCCCGCGGUUAGACGGAAAGACCCCAUGAACCUUUACUGUAGCUUUGCAUUGGACUUUGAACCGACUUGUGUAGGAUAGGUGGGAGGCAGUGAAGCCGGGACGCUAGUUCUGGUGGAGCCAACCUUGAAAUACCACCUGGUUUGUUGAGGUUCUAACCACGGCCCGUGAAUCCGGGUCUGGGACCGUGCAUGGUAGGCAGUUUGACGUGGGGCGGUCUCCUCCUAAAGUGUAACGGAGGAGUAC
RNAcentral lists this ribosomal RNA (533 nucleotides) under uncultured bacterium. Its description in RNAcentral is "bacterial LSU rRNA". It matches the Rfam family "Bacterial large subunit ribosomal RNA", at positions 1771 to 2311 of the family's 2925-position model. The record is from RNAcentral.